Molecule: ribosomal RNA, 254 nt
Filed under: uncultured bacterium
Lineage: Bacteria
Description: partial 16S ribosomal RNA
Rfam family: Bacterial small subunit ribosomal RNA
Source: RNAcentral
GACGGAGGAUGCAAGCGUUAUCCGGAAUGAUUGGGCGUAAAGCGUCCGCAGGUGGCAAUUCAAGUCUGCUGUUAAAGCGCAGGGCUUAACCCUGUAAAGGCAGUGGAAACUGAAUAGCUAGAGUAUGGUAGGGGUAGAGGGAAUUCCCAGUGUAGCGGUGAAAUGCGUAGAUAUUGGGAAGAACAUCGGUGGCGAAGGCGCUCUGCUGGACCAUAACUGACACUCACAGGACGAAAGCUAGGGGAGCGAAUGGG